CUCUUGCUUCUUCCUCAUUUUCUCUUGCUGCCACAGUGUAAGAAGCUCCUUUCACCUUUGACCUCCCGCCAUGAUUCUGAGGCCUCCCCAGCCAUGCGGAACUGAGCACAGGCAGAAAAGACUUGCCCCUUCAGGUGAGAAGAUCCAAGCUUGCUUUCCCUUUGCCUUCUGCCAUGAUGUUUGCAGAUAUAUUGUUCAGUCAAGGUCUUUCCUUGAAUGAUUCAGAAUGUAGCAUCUUCCUCCAAAUCCAUCUGAAUAUAG
Long non-coding RNA from Pongo pygmaeus (Bornean orangutan), 261 nucleotides. RefSeq lists it as uncharacterized. The transcript has 4 exons. NCBI's taxonomy places the organism in Eukaryota, Metazoa, Chordata, Mammalia, Primates, Hominidae. The record is from RefSeq and is a predicted model, not a curated record.